Molecule: long non-coding RNA, 241 nt
Filed under: Trifolium pratense (red clover)
Lineage: Eukaryota; Viridiplantae; Streptophyta; Magnoliopsida; Fabales; Fabaceae
Description: long non-coding RNA (TPRA_LNC007396)
Source: RNAcentral
UCAUUAUAUUGAUUGAUAUUGUAGUAUCAUCAAUACAUGUGGUAUUGUAGUACCACAUGUGGUAUCGUAGUUCCGUUGAUUCAUAGAUUGAGGUUGUAGCAUCAAUCUGAGUGGUAUUGUAGUACCACUGAAUCGCCGAUGAGUAAUAGAUUGAUGUCGUAGCAUCAAUUCGAGUGGUAUUGUAGUACCAUUCAAGAAGGUGUAUUCUUUGACCGAUUUCUACCGUGCAGUAGCAUAUCGG